Molecule: long non-coding RNA, 1186 nt
Filed under: Homo sapiens (human)
Lineage: Eukaryota; Metazoa; Chordata; Mammalia; Primates; Hominidae
Description: long intergenic non-protein coding RNA 1500
Source: RNAcentral
GGUAGUAGCGCUGCCUGCAAACCAGCACCAAGGCUGCAAACGAAGCCAGAAAGAUGGUGGCCAGCACACCUAUGGCAACUAUCACCACGGUCUCCAUGCUUCCGGGGAGCUCCUGACUCAGUCCCGUUCACAUCGUCCUCAUGGGCUAAGGCUGCUGGAAGUGGCAAACUGGGGGAAGAGGAUGGCAGGAGCUAGGUUCCUCCACGACACCUCCAGAGACCUGAGGGCCUCAAGCUGCAGCUCCGGGGCACAUCCCGCUGCGCUCCCACGACGGCCCCGCGGAUGGCAAAGUCAGCGGCAUCGCCUAUGCAGGCAAUCAAAGGAUGUUGAUGGAUAAGUGUUUCAGGCAGAAUAAUGGCCCUCAAAGAUGUUGACACCAGAAUCUUCAGAACCUUUGCAUAUGUUACCUAACAUGACAAAAGGGACUUUGCUGAUGUGAUUAAGGUUAAGAACUUUGAGAAGGGAAGAUUAUCCUGGAUUAUACAGGUCGACGUUUAUUUCUUUCUGAACUUUCCUGGAGGAUCAUCGGCCAUACUCCAGCAGAAGGGUGGAUUUGAAAAAAUAACGUUUCCACGGCAACAGUGGCAGCAAUUCAAAGGAAGACGUUGGAGAAUUCACAUGCUAUUUUAGCUGGCUCUGUGAUUGCAAUCACACAAAUCAUUACAUUCCAGCGAGAUCCCAUCAACAGAAGGUUUUUCCAUUUCAGUCUGUCAAGAUGAGUAAACAGAAACAUCUGAUAACUUCCACCUAGUGCAUGGAGAGCUAGAAUUUGAAGUAGGGCUGACCAAUACCAAAGCCUGAUGUCUAGUGAAAUUCACACAAUGCUGCAAAUCUGAAGACUCUGCAGCAGAUUUUGUAGGUACUUUCAGCAGAGGAGUUUCAGAAAUGCUUUGCACAAACACAGGUUCACCAAGUGAGUGAUCACACGGGAAGACCACGUGGGAAGAUUUUAGGUUGUUUUAUUAAAGUUCAUUGCUGAGAACACAAAGGCUGAUGCCACAGAGGGGAAAACGCCAGAUCCACCACCGAACAGCUAAAGCCAUAUGCGCCUGCUCCAUGAAUGCCCAUUUUUCAUCUUUAGUGGGCUUCAAAGUUAAAUAGCACAGACAACACAAAGGAAAAUAUGACCGCAGCAAAAGACAGAAACUACACUGUGGCUACAAUUAAAUCUUCAUACCAAUCAUGC